GGCUUCGUAGCUCAGCUGGUAGAGCGCAUACUGUGUUGAGGCAAUGUGUUUCUGUUGCUGGUUCGAAUCUGGCCGAAGUCC
Molecule: non-coding RNA, 81 nt
Organism: Paragonimus heterotremus
Lineage: Eukaryota; Metazoa; Platyhelminthes; Trematoda; Plagiorchiida; Troglotrematidae
Source: the annotation of a GenBank genome assembly